GCUUCAUGUUGCGUUUCGUCAGCGGCCAAUCGACCACAGGCUUCUACGGAAACCCUAAUCAGUGUCUAUGCUCUCCUUCGUGUUCUUCAUUCACCUUCGAUCGGUGCAGGGACGAUCCAGUUUCUGUAACGGUGUUUUGUGAUUUAAUGGUCUUAAAUCGUCUCAUUCGUCAUCCCACUACGAAACUCUCUCUCCUGCGCUGUUCGCCGUCUUUGCCACCAUUGACUUUUAGGGUUCUUCCUGUUCUUUGAGCUCUGAGUAGAUAAACCGACAUUAGAGUUUGGAAGGGUCAUGUGAGACAAAUCGUUAUGGCGAAUCUCUAGAUCAAGCUGUCAGACGCGUCAUUUCUUCCGAAUCAAUCUGGAUCUGAAACUCUCAAGCGUCUCCUCACAGAUUUUGAAGGCUUUAAGAUCACAUGAGAGCCUGAGGUUGUGAUUGCACCAAGUUAGCAGUUUUAGAUGAUCGAUGUAUCUGUUCUUUAAACAUGGGAGAUUGUGUCAUCGGAGCUUUCAUCAGUAUUUUUGAAAGCGUUGCUAUUAAUUUCGGAACAAACCUUCUCAAAUUGAGACAUAAUAAGAGAAAGAAGUUAGCUUUACAUGCAGGAUAAUGGUCGAGAAAAGACGUCAUUGAAGCCUCUUAUACAGUUCAGACAUAGAUAGUUGAUAGCAACUGUUGAUGAAUAGAAAAUGCCAGCAAAAAAAUAAAAAUAUAAAGGUGCUGAUUUUAGUAAUUACCUUUAGAUCAAGCUCUGUUUUCUUUUUUUAAAUGAUUGUCUUUCAAGUGUUUCUCCUUCGUUCUGCAGGAUGAAAAGAAGCAUACAACCGGCAGUAUGUGUGACAUGCUUACCUACUACCUAGAAUAAUGGUCUCUUCUCGACAGAGAUCAUUCAAAUUCUUUGUAAAUAGCAACUGAAGCCUCGCAAACCAGCAUGCGUCAUUUUCCAAUUAUUGAAAAAGCUGUGGUUGAUAUUCUAUCCCAAGCAUAUUGUUAGUUCAGCUGUUAAUGUCGUCACGGUCUGGCGUCUUCCAUAUUCUCGCCGAUAUCCAAGAUGAGGUGGUUUCAUGAGAGUUCAGAGAUGCAUACAAUUAUCAUAAUAGUUAUUAUUGGAUAUAAAGUGGAAACUAGCUGUUAUUCGUUCUUAUAUGUGUAGAUGAAAUGAAUUCAGUAAUGGCGGAAAUGAUGAAUAUCACUGCACAAGAAGCAGUCUUGCGCAAACAGUGUCAAGGAUUCUUAUCAAUAGUAACAGCUAUGCAGGUUAAAGAGUCAUCUCUCUGCUCUUGGCUUUUUUUCUUCCCUUUUACAUUUUUCUUCUUGAUCAAGCUUUUAUAAGCAAAUCAAUUCGUCUUGAUAGGUUAAGGACUGUAGCAUGAAUACGCACAUAAUACAACUAAACUGGAAACUGACUUCACAACUGUAGAAACUGAUGGGUUUUCCAUAACUUUUGAUGUCCUAAGAUUUGUUUCAAGUUUCUCAAUUUCAAUACUUAAUACGGUUACCACAA
Molecule: long non-coding RNA, 1501 nt
Organism: Brassica napus (rape)
Lineage: Eukaryota; Viridiplantae; Streptophyta; Magnoliopsida; Brassicales; Brassicaceae
Exons: 7
Source: RefSeq, a predicted model, not a curated record